This 490-nucleotide ribosomal RNA is filed under the name uncultured bacterium. RNAcentral describes it as "partial 16S ribosomal RNA". It matches the Rfam family "Bacterial small subunit ribosomal RNA", at positions 30 to 507 of the family's 1533-position model. The record is from RNAcentral.
AUUGAACGCUGGCGGCAGGCCUAACACAUGCAAGUCGAACGGUAACAGGAAGAAGCUUGCUUCUUUGCUGACGAGUGGCGGACGGGUGAGUAAUGUCUGGGAAACUGCCUGAUGGAGGGGGAUAACUACUGGAAACGGUAGCUAAUACCGCAUAACGUCGCAAGACCAAAGAGGGGGACCUUCGGGCCUCUUGCCAUCGGAUGUGCCCAGAUGGGAUUAGCUAGUAGGUGGGGUAACGGCUCACCUAGGCGACGAUCCCUAGCUGGUCUGAGAGGAUGACCAGCCACACUGGAACUGAGACACGGUCCAGACUCCUACGGGGGGCAGCAGUGGGGAAUAUUGCACAAAGGGCGCAAGCCUGAUGCAGCCAUGCCGCGUGUAUGAAGAAGGCCUUCGGGUUGUAAAGUACUUUCAGCGGGGAGGAAGGGAGUAAAGUUAAUACCUUUGCUCAUUGACGUUACCCGCAGAAGAAGCACCGGCUAACUCCGUG